RNAcentral lists this non-coding RNA (27 nucleotides) under Mus musculus (house mouse). The record is from RNAcentral. Lineage: Eukaryota; Metazoa; Chordata; Mammalia; Rodentia; Muridae.
GGCUAGACAGAUGACAGAAACUGCUGA